GCAGCAGGCACGCAAAUUACCCACUCCCAGCACGGGGGAGGUAGUGACAAAAAUAACGAUACGGGCACUCAUUUGAGGCCCCGUAAUCGGAAUGAGUACACUUUAAAUCCUUUAACAAGGAUCCAUUGGAGGGCAAGUCUGGUGCCAGCAGCCGCGGUAAUUCCAGCUCCAAUAGCGUAUAUUAAAGUUGUUGCGGUUAAAAAGCUCGUAGUUGGUUCUGCGUGCCACGCUGUCGGUUCGCCGCCUGCCGGUGCUACUGGCAUGUCGUGGCAUGUCCUGUCGGUGGGUGUUCGGGGCCCCGUGCGGGCGGCAGGAGGCCGGGCUUCGGUUCGCGUUCCUCUCUGCACGUCGGCGGGUUCACUCCGGCUCCCUAUUAUCCUACCUAGGUGCUCUUCACCGAGUGUCGAGGUAGGCCGACACGUUUACUUUGAACAAAUCAGAGUGCUUAAAGCAGGCUGAAAAAUUCUGCCUGAAUGAUGGCGCAUGGAAUAAUAAAACAGGACCUUGGUUCUAUUUUGUUGGUUCUUAGGAACACAAGGUAAUGAUCAAUAAGGACAGGCGGGGGCAUUCGUAUUGCGGGGUUAGACUUGGCAAAUGCUUUCGCGGUGAAAUUCUUGGAUCCUCGCAAGACGACCGAGAGCGAAAGCAUUUGCCAAGUAUGUCUCGAUUGAUCAAGAACGAAAGUUAGAGGUUCGAAGGCGAUCAGAUACCGCCCUAGUUCUAACCAUAAACGAUGCCAGCCAGCGAUCCGCCGAUGUUCCUCCGAUGACUCGGCGGGGAGCUUCUCCCCGGGAAACCAAAGCUUUUGGGUUCCGGGGGAAGUAUGGUUGCAAAGCUGAAACUUAAAGGAAUUGACGGAAGGGCACCACCAGGAGUGGAGCCUGCGGCUUAAUUUGACUCAACACGGGAAACCUCACCAGGUCAGGACAUUGUAAGGAUUGACAGAUUGAUAGCUCUUUCUUGAUUCAGUGGGUAGUGGUGCAUGGCCGUUCUUAGUUGGUGG
RNAcentral lists this ribosomal RNA (1003 nucleotides) under Tuxedo sp. WCW-2003c. Its description in RNAcentral is "SSU rRNA". It matches the Rfam family "Eukaryotic small subunit ribosomal RNA", at positions 425 to 1304 of the family's 1831-position model. Lineage: Eukaryota; Metazoa; Arthropoda; Insecta; Hemiptera; Miridae. The record is from RNAcentral.